Molecule: long non-coding RNA, 1615 nt
Organism: Diceros bicornis minor
Lineage: Eukaryota; Metazoa; Chordata; Mammalia; Perissodactyla; Rhinocerotidae
Exons: 8
Source: RefSeq, a predicted model, not a curated record
CAGGUAAAAUUCUCCCUUAAAUAGGAUUCUCAUUAUUGUUCUUUUAGGAUCCGAGAGUUAUUUUAUUUGGGUAUCGAAUUGUGAUUGUCACAUUGUCACAGAUCAGCAGUGACUUGUGCAUAAUGAAUUACUGUUCUUUCUUACAGGUUGCAAGUAAACCUCUAAUGAUUGUAGGGUCUAAUUAGCAACAGUGUCAACUCUUUUAACUAGAAAUAAUUGAUUAAAAACUUUCACUGUGAGAGGUAGGAAGAAGCAGGCUGUCUUUCUUUGUCUCUUCUUGAGCUCGAGGAAACUCCCUAGCACCCCUAAAGCAAACCUCAUUGCUCAAGGCGCAGCUCAGGUUUAGCCCCACAGCACUCCCUGGACGUGGAAUCUUCAGGAAUGGUUUAAACCUCACCAUGUGCUCUCUGAGGGCAGACAAGAAUGCCUGCUUCCUUAAGCGUGCAGAAUAGUAAACACUCCCCAAAUUGAACUUAUUCAGAGGAUGACUAAUAUAGAGGGGAAAAAAUCUAAUUGCUGGGCAACUCAGUAUCCCCACCAGUUCGAAUCUGGGUUUUCUGCCUUCAAUUUCCAUGCUCAUUUCAUUUCCCAAUUAUGUCUCCCUUUUAGCUCCACCCAUUCCUAAGAAACACCCAAUUUAAAAAAAGCACUGGAGCUCACGUGUCACUGGAUGAGAAAAGAAACUCUGUGUCACAGCAUGUAAUUCUGAACUAUAUGAUUUUCCUAAAGGUCUUGGACUUCAGGUGAAAGACGUUCUGUCAGCCAGGAUUCAGGAACAUCCCUCAGGAAGAGAGAGCUACCUGCUGCUUUGUCUGUGUAUUGUGCCCAGAGAGAGAAAUAUGUAAUCAGACAGAAAAGAAAAGUGUCUGGGGGGCUCAAGUUUGAGUUGAAACCAGGCUCAGGGUCCACCUGUCCUCGCUGAUCCGUGGAUUUCUGUGUGACCAGCUGACACCUAUGGAGCUGUGGCCCUGACUACUACCACUUUGGGGCACAACCUGAAGACCCUCACAGUCACCUUCCCCAUCUCCACCCUCCAGUAUUCAUCAGACAGGAGCAAUGGCUCAGCCACGUUCCACUCCACUGAGAGGGUCCUGCAGAGCCUGGUGAGACCCUGGUUCCAGCAGCUCCUGGCCUGAGAAGGAUGGGGGAGCCACCUGAGUGGACGCUGUCUGCACCCACCGCCGUGACCCCGUGGGCCACCAUGCCUCUGUGCUGGGAGCUGACAGUCUCCACGUGUCUGCUCUUCCUCUCGGUGGCUCCAGGCUCUGCACCCUGGAGUUUAUGCAUGCAGAGAGAACACCAGCUGCAUUUCCCCAGCAUCAACUGGAACCUCAGCAACCCGGAGCCCACAUCCUCGGAGUACACCGCCCUGCUGAGGGACACCCAGGACCAGAAUAUUCUCCCAACAGAGAUGACACCUUGACUGAGAAGCCUGGUAAACCUGCAGGAAGCCCCAGCCCACGGUAGGGGGCGAGUAUCUUGAUGCUGUGCCUCAUUGAAGAGAACCAUGCGCACAGGGUCUUGGAUGAUGAGGAAAGUUGGCCAACCCUUGUCAAGGACAGUUGAGGCACAGUGGGGUCAGCAGGAGCCCUGGGGCGAUGACAGGAGGUGGCUC